GACGAACGCUGGCGGCGUGCCUAAUACAUGCAAGUCGAACGGAAAGGCCCUGCUUUUGUGUGCUGCUCGAGUGGCGAACGGGUGAGUAACACGUGAGUAACCUGCCCUGGACUUGGGGAUAACUUCUGGAAACUAGGGCUAAUACCGCAUAGGAGCACCUGUUGCAUGGCGGGGGUUUGAAAGGUGCGGCGGUUCGGGUUGGACUCGGGGCUUCUCAGCUUGUGGGUGAGGUAGUGGUUAAGCAAGGCCUUGGCGGGUAGCCGUCCUGGGAGGGUGACCGGGCCCAGUGGGCCACGGGAAGGGGCAGGAGUGCUACUGGGGGCAUGGGCGGAAGUCAUAGCGAGCUAGGCGGAGGGAUGAUAGAAGAACGCCGGGUGGGGGAUGACUGCCUUAGGGUUGUAAACAGCUUUAGCGUGUAACGAAGAGUGAGUGACGGUAAUGGACAAAGAAGCACCGGCUAACUACGUG
Molecule: ribosomal RNA, 468 nt
Filed under: uncultured bacterium
Lineage: Bacteria
Description: partial 16S ribosomal RNA
Rfam family: Bacterial small subunit ribosomal RNA
Source: RNAcentral